UCGGAUGUGGUGCACGGUGCACGCUUGCCUUCGGUGCAUCGCUGCCCUCUGGCUGCAGCAAUAGGCCUGAGUUCGACUCUCAGCGUCCGAG
Non-coding RNA from Mycena galopus ATCC 62051, 91 nucleotides. The record is from the annotation of a GenBank genome assembly. NCBI's taxonomy places the organism in Eukaryota, Fungi, Basidiomycota, Agaricomycetes, Agaricales, Mycenaceae.